GCGCGAAAACUGCACAAUGUGGGAAACCACGAUGCGGGAAACCCAAGUGCCAGCGCUAUGCGUUGGCUGUCCUCCAGUGUUCGUAACUGGGGAAGAAAGUGCUGGGUAAGACGGGUGCCAGCCGCCGCGGUAAUACCCGCAGCACAAGUGGUGGUCAUUAUUAUUGGGCCUAAAGCGUCCGUAGCUGGCUUGUUAGAUGCCUGGGUAAAUCGAUGCGCUCAACGUAUCGAACUCCGGGUAGACCGGCAAGCUUGGGACCGGGAGAGGCGUGAGCUACUCGAGGGGUAGGGGUAAAAUCCUGUAAUCCUUCGGGGAGGACCAGUGGCGAAGGCGUCACGCUAGAACGGCUCCGACAGUGAGGGACGAAGCCCUGGGGCGCAAACCGG
This 386-nucleotide ribosomal RNA is filed under the name uncultured bacterium. RNAcentral's name for it is "bacterial SSU rRNA". It matches the Rfam family "Archaeal small subunit ribosomal RNA", at positions 339 to 727 of the family's 1478-position model. The record is from RNAcentral.